Molecule: ribosomal RNA, 407 nt
Filed under: Verrucomicrobiota bacterium
Lineage: Bacteria; Pseudomonadati; Verrucomicrobiota
Description: Verrucomicrobia bacterium partial 16S ribosomal RNA
Rfam family: Bacterial small subunit ribosomal RNA
Source: RNAcentral
UGGGGAAUAUUGGACAAUGGAGGAAACUCUGAUCCAGCAAUUCUGUGUGUGUGAAGAAGGUUUUAGGACUGUAAAACACUUUUAGUAGGGAAGAAAAAAAUGACGGUACCUACAGAAGAAGCAACGGCUAAAUACGUGCCAGCAGCCGCGGUAAUACGUAUGUUGCGAGCGUUAUCCGGAAUUAUUGGGCUUAAAGGGCAUCUAGGCGGUAAGACAAGUUGAAGGUGAAAACCUGUGGCUCAACCAUAGGCUUGCCUACAAAACUGUUGAACUAUAGUACUGGAAAGGUGGGUGGAACUACACGAGUAGAGGUGAAAUUCGUAGAUAUGUGUAGGAAUGCCGAUGAUGAAGAUAACUCACUGGACAGAAACUGACGCUGAAGUGCGAAAGCUAGGGGAGCAAACAGG